ACUCAAAUGAAUUGACGGGGGCCCGCACAAGCGGAGGAGCAUGUGGUUUAAUUCGAUGAUACGCGAGGAACCUUACCCGGGCUUGAAUUGCAGUGGAAUAACAAUGAAAGUUGUUAGUCUUCGGACCACUGUGAAGGUGCUGCAUGGUUGUCGUCAGCUCGUGCCGUGAGGUGUUAGGUUAAGUCCUGCAACGAGCGCAACCCUUACACUUAGUUGCCAGCAUGUAAUGAUGGGGACUCUAUGUGAACUGCCUACGCAAGUAGUGAGGAAGGUGGGGAUGACGUCAAAUCAGCACGGCCCUUAUGUUCGGGGCUACACACGUGCUACAAUGGUCGGUACAGAGGGCAGCUACCACGCGAGUGGAUGCGAAUCUCAAAAGCCGAUCUCAGUUCGGAUCGGAGUCUGUAACUCGACUCCGUGAAGUUGGAUUCGCUAGUAAUCGCACAUCAGCCAUGGUGCGGUGAAUACGUUCCCGGGCCUUGCACACACCGCCCGU
RNAcentral lists this ribosomal RNA (496 nucleotides) under uncultured bacterium. RNAcentral's name for it is "bacterial SSU rRNA". It matches the Rfam family "Bacterial small subunit ribosomal RNA", at positions 899 to 1397 of the family's 1533-position model. The record is from RNAcentral.